GAUGAACGCUGGCGGCGUGCCUAAUACAUGCAAGUCGAGCGAACAGAUAAGGAGCUUGCUCCUUUGACGUUAGCGGCGGACGGGUGAGUAACACGUGGGUAACCUACCUAUAAGACUGGAAUAACUCCGGGAAACCGGGGCUAAUGCAGGAUAACAUGUUGAACCGCAUGGUUCUACAGUGAAAGGCGGCUUUGCUGUCACUUAUAGAUGGACCCGCGCCGUAUUAGCUAGUUGGUGAGGUAACGGCUCACCAAGGCAACGAUACGUAGCCGACCUGAGGGGGUGAUCGGCCACACUGGAACUGAGACACGGUCCAGACUCCUACGGGAGGCAGCAGUAGGGAAUCUUCCGCAAUGGGCGAAAGCCUGACGGAGCAACGCCGCGUGAGUGAUGAAGGUCUUCGGAUCGUAAAACUCUGUUAUUAGGGAAGAACAAAUGCGUAAGUAACUGUGCGCGUCUUGACGGUACCUAAUCAGAAAGCCACGGCUAACUACGUG
RNAcentral lists this ribosomal RNA (497 nucleotides) under uncultured bacterium. Its description in RNAcentral is "partial 16S ribosomal RNA". It matches the Rfam family "Bacterial small subunit ribosomal RNA", at positions 28 to 507 of the family's 1533-position model. The record is from RNAcentral.